Molecule: RNA transcript, 5715 nt
Organism: Chiroxiphia lanceolata (lance-tailed manakin)
Lineage: Eukaryota; Metazoa; Chordata; Aves; Passeriformes; Pipridae
Gene: VWA3B
Gene name: von Willebrand factor A domain containing 3B
Exons: 30
Source: RefSeq, a predicted model, not a curated record
UCCCUCCUCCCCGCCCGGUGGUUGGGGCGCGGGGCUGAGGCGAGGCCGUGCCGUAGCAACCGGGCGGUCUCCGGGUUCACAGGCGCACUGAGGGCGGGCGGGCGGUGGCGCGGCCGGAGGCAGGGUUUAAGAAGAAAGCAAAGAGGAGCUGCCAAUCAAGAGAUCUGUCAUGACUGCCAGUACAUCUAAGAGAAUUGCCUGGAGUGACUAUGUCUUUGAUUCAAAGCACAGGCAAGAUCUUGAAGAUUCCCAUGAGGCCCACAGGAAAGAAUCAAAAGAGAAGGAAAGAAGACUGGCAGUCAGUCAGUGGAGCACAGAUGUACAAUCCCUUGUUUCAUCUUCUGAAUGGCUUCAACGUUAUGGUCUCAAAAGAAACAAAUUGUCCCUCUCCCAGAUUUUGUCACAGAUUGGAUUCCAGCAUAGGAAAGAUUAUGUGACCACCUUGGGGAAACCUGUGGCUUCUCGGUAUGCAGAUGGUCUGUUUCCUCAGUACAAGAGAGCACAAGAUGGCAGUGUGUAUAAUCUGACAGCCAAAAAAGAACUGAUUCUUCAUUUUGUGGAUUGUCUAAUGGGAGCUAUUGAGCUGUAUAAGCAGCGAAUGGAAUGGUUAACCAGUGAGAGCCGGCAGAUAUUUGGAGUGAUUCAAGAACGGUGCAUUGUCAUUGUUUUGGAUUUUGGCACUGCAGCUCCAGCUGAAUUUGAUCUAUGUCGGGAUGCACUUUCUAUGGUACUUGUGGAACAGGUGAUCCAAAUUGCCAGAUUCAACCUCAUUCGGGCUGCACAGGAUCUUAUGAAGUGGCAACAGAAACCUACUCCUGUGUCUGACCAUACUGUAAAGGCUGCUGUUACGUGGCUCUGGAAGCUGGACCAUAUGACAGCUGUCAGCCAUACCAACUCUGCUGAAGCCCUGCUGGAAGCCAUGGGUGAUGAGGCGGUUGAAGCCGUUUAUUACUUUGCUGUGGGUGAUGUUCCAGUGGACACAAAACAGCUACUCCUUGAGAAGGUUUCUGAUGGCCCCUGUCCAAUCAACACUGUGUCUUUCAAUGCUAGGGAAGAUGAAACUAUUAUUUUUCUGAAGGAGCUGAGCCGCUUGGCCUCUGGCAGAUUCCAUGCUUUUGCUGAGAAGAAAGACUAUAGACAAGCUGCUGGAGCUGCAUUAAAAUAUGAAGAGGAUGGAAAAGGUCUAAUUGCCCUGAACUCCGGAAAACUGAAAGGGCGAAUGCCACUAGGUAGACAAUCUAAAACACAAGAUUAUAAUGAUAUUUUCAUAGCUGGUGUCCGUGAAGAUGUCUUUUUGAUCUGGAAGGAGUUGGAGGAAGCCAGGAAUACAGUGAGACAAGUUCAGAAAAUUUUAUCAGAAUCUGACCAGCCUGCUUCUCAAGAUGCAACCAAAACUGAUCAUCCAUUACAAAAUCAUGUAUAUGACAAAUAUUUGACUUCUGAGAAGUGGUUGCAGAAAUAUGGCUUGAAAGCUCAGAAGCUCACACUGUACGAUGCACUUGCUGAUUGUAUUUUCCGCCACGUAGAUGGGAUUGUUGACAUAAAAACUAAACCAGAGGAUGAAUCUUCACAAACUGAUGCUGAGACAAAGAGGAAGGUAAUUCAUGCAAGAUACUGUGACAGGUUUGUACACACCCUCUGGAAAGAUGGAUCUGUAGUUCACAUAUAUGUUAGUACAGAAAAGUAUAAGCAGUACGAAGAGAAAAUGAGGACAGCUCUCAGACAAGUGGAAAGAAGGAUUAAGUGGCUUCAACAAGGAAGCAGAGGGCUCUUUGGUAAUGUGUUUGAAGAUAAUGUCUAUAUUCUCAUUGAUACAUCCCAGUCUAUGAACAACAAGCUGCCACUGGUGAAGGAAAAAAUAUUUCAGCUCAUACAGGAACAACUGAGACACAAGAAGAGAUUUAACUUUGUGAAAUUUAGUGCCCAAGCAGUGGCAUGGCAAGAAAAACUUGCUGAAGUUAAUGAGGAAAAUUUGCAAGAUGCUUGGCUUUGGAUAAAACAGCUUGAGGUUGGGAGUUCCACAAAUACACUCAAAGCUCUCCAGAUUGCUCUUGCUGAUACUGACACUCAGGCUAUUUAUCUCUUGACGGAUGGGAGACCUGACCAGCCCUCCCAAAUAAUUUUUGCUGAGGUCCAUCUUCAUUGUAAAAUUCCCAUCCAUACUGUAUCAUUCAACUGUGAUGAUAUAGAAGCUAAUAAAUUUUUGUAUGAACUAUCUACUAAAACAGAGGGACGGUUUCAUUAUUACAACAUUUAUUUGACUGAUCCUGAUACUGCAGAGUUUAUUCUUAAUAAAGACAUACAUCUUUUGAAACGAGAAAUUGAUCAAGGAGAAAAAGAUCUAGGGAAAGUAAAGACCUUUCAUGUCAAAAGCCUGAUGAUGGAUUCUUUUAAUGAAGAAAAUUAUCCAGAGAAUAACAGUAGGUUGUUCUGUGCUUCAGAAGAGCCAGGACGGACACCACACCAGCAAACCUGGCAAACGACUGCUGACAGUCCAGCCCGAAGAAAGAAAGUAUUAUAUGCAGAGCAAACAAAGAGCAGCCUGCUGCGAAUCCUGAGCCAUGGUGUGAAAUCUAGGGAAGAAAGCCCAGAGGAAAGAACAUCUCCAGAGGAAAAAAGUUUUUCUGUCAAGAAGAGUGUGAAAUGUACAACUAUUUUGAAAGAUCUGAAAAUGCAGAGUGUGAAAAAGGCAUCUACAAGCUCUCUAGAUAUCUCUUCAGCUCUUUGGUUAAAGACCCAUGGCUUGGUUGCUAGGCGACUCACCAUCAUGGAUGCCUUGGCUCCUACAGCUGUCCCUCAUGGUACCAAAUACAUCCCAGUUCUGGACAAGCAUGUAGUUUCUAAAGUAUUUGAUGAGAUAUUACCGUUGGCCCAUGUUAGCAAUGACAAGAAGGAGAUCACACUAAUUAAUCCUCAGGCAGUGAAUCUUGUUGCCUAUAAAGAGAAGCUGGAACAAGCAAUUAAAUCCUACAAAAGGCGCCUGAACCUAGUUAUUUGGAGAGCACUAUCUCAGGAGGAAAGAGACAAAUUUAAAGAGGAUGGUCCAGUCCAAUAUAUGCAGCAUAAAGAAGCUUUGCUGGAGGCUUUAGAGAAUUUGGGAUGGCCAAUUUCCUAUGAAGAUGUAAAAUUGCUAGAAGAUGAGAUACUGGCAGCAUUAACAUAUAUGCAACAAGCCUCUGAUCUUCAGGAAGCUGUCAAAAAGGAAACUGAGAAAAGCUCAGAAUCGCACAUAAGCAACAAUAAAAAGAGACAUGAAGAAGCAACUAUGAAGUCAAAGUCUAAGACAGGACAAAAAUGGCAAAUAUUUGUGACUCACAAAAGCCAAAAGGUAAUUGCAAGAUCAAACGUCACAGGAUUUUAUUAUCCAGGAACUGUGAUAAAGAAUGUCAGUUCUACCUGUGCACUUGUUGACUUCAGCAAUGGGGAGAGCUGGGAUGUACCUGUGAAGUUCACUAUACCUGUGGGAGGUGCUAUGCCAUGCCCACAUCUGCAGGUUGGAGACUAUGUGUUUGCCAGAACUGGGAUACAGGCAAGAAAUGAGUAUUAUGUACCUGCCAUUGUCAUUGCAACACCAGAGAGGGUGGAAACAGGUAACAAACUCUACACAGUACUGAUGUUCAACAACAGGAAGGAACACUGUGUAAGAAGUGAGCUUAUUAAAAUCAGCCAAACAAAGUAUGCCUAUUCCUGUCAGUACAUAAGAACGGUGCAGAUGGUGGAUUAUGAGAUCCUGGACAGUGAGACCACAAAGCCCUAUCCUCGUUCACCUCUGGAAGAUGAAGGAGGAGAAGAAGCAAAGGAAAGUACUGUUGAAGAAAAGAGGGGGAAAAAGAAAAAGAAGAGGAGAGCAGUAGACAAAAGACAUCCCAGGGAGAAGAUGUCAGACUUUGAUGAUCUUAUAUUUGUCUCCAGAAGUGAAGUAAAACAGAGAGGAAGAAAUUCACAGUCUAGUAAUAAAGAAGAAUUUGGAGCAUCUUCAUUCUCCGUUUCAUCACCCUGGUGUUCAUCGAGGUGUCAAACUCUGCAGUCGCCAAGAGCUUCGACACCCAGCUCACUGAAGUCUCGCUGUUGCUUGUGCAGUCCAUCUGCAGAAAAUUCUCCAGAGCCUGGUAAAAGCAACAUCCACCAGAUUAUCAGGGUCAACAUGGAGCAGUGAGGAUUGGCAAGCCAGCCUCAGCACCACUGCACAGAGCUCAGGAAGCCACAUUAAGGAUGUAGGAAGGUCACAUCUGAUUUAUGGCAAAGCUGGUAGAUACACUCUCCAGGCCAGUGUGGAGACAGCACCUGUAGCUGCUUGUGGUGCUUAUUACCAAAUCUCAAGGAGCAACUCAGAGAAGGAGAAGGUGUCACAUUAUUUUCAGAUGAAUGUGUGUCCCCUGCUGUAGGAGAACUAAAAAUACCGUACUAAAUACCCUGCAUCUCUUGAUUUUUUGGCUGUGCUUCUAUAUACAAACACACUGAAAAUCUCAAACCCCACUCUUUGCUCCACAUUUUUAACAGCCGUUAAUACAAAAUGAGAAUAACCUGGUGCCAUCAUUUAGGAGAGAGUAUAAAAAAAUUGUAUUUCUGUGGUCAAUGGAGGCAAACAGAGUCUUUGAGGAUAUGUUUAUCUCUUUUCCUUCAGGCAUAUUUCAGCCGGCUACUCUAGGUAGCUAGUUCAGGUGUACAGUUGGCCAGGAAAGUCGUAUACACUGUCUGUGAAGAUAUUUCCCAGAAGAACAUUGACCUAUCAGUUUUGGGGAAAUUCUGAGGUUUUGAGAUCUGUUUCUGUCACAGUUUGGAGUACACACAGACACACACACACACACAAAAUCCCCCAACAAAAUAGAACCCAAAACCCCAGAGUUUUUUAUUUAGUAAAGGAGAAUUAUAGUUUGUGUAGCCAAAAUGACCUUGAAGCCAAGAUACUUCAGCGGAGAUACGAGAGUGUUGAAAUUUCUGCAUGGCCUGACUCAGGGAAGACUCAAACCUGGGAAAAACUGUAAUUCUGAAAUGGUCUAUCCUGAAGUUCCAGUUUGCAUACUUCAUGUUACCUUCUGUUCUGCAGGUCAGGCUCCUCACUCCAUCAUAUCUUGGAGUAUUCCCUUGGAGAAUAGAGCUGAUACAGAGAUGGAGUCCUUGGUUUUAGGGAGUCACUAAGGAUUUUUUUACACAAUAGAAAAAUUGGAAGUGAUAUCACUAAUAUAACUAUACCUAGGACAGGACAGCUGGAAAGAAAUAUUUCUACUGUGGAUAAGAAUAUUUUUGUUUUCUGAAGGAAAUGGCACUACCAAUAGGUGGAAAAGCACUGUGCAUGGCUGUAGAAAAAAUUUCUAAAUGAAAAGUUUAGAUAUCUAUUUUAUUCUCAAGAAUGACUUUCAAUCACACAGAUUUUAGAAUUUACCUGCUCACAUUUUUUGCAGAAGAUGUGUCUCAAGCAGACUUAAUUCAGCAUAGACAUGAUCAUCUCACCUAUGUCAUCUGUGAUUACUGUGUAUUUGAGGCUGAGCAUGUGUAAUUCCAAGUACAUGAACAAAAUGGAGUGUGGGCCAAUUUUGUAUGUACAUACUGUUAAGUGCAGAUGGAUUGUAUGCCAACCCAUUAUGAUAAAGACUAGGAUCCCUUUGAAAAAAAUGGCUCAAGAAACUUAGUAUUCCACUGCAUGCAAUACAUAUUUGUGAGAAAUACAAAGAGAAAUGUUAACCAAGAGCAGGAUUAAAACUGGCAGCACAGGUA